Molecule: ribosomal RNA, 253 nt
Filed under: uncultured bacterium
Lineage: Bacteria
Description: partial 16S ribosomal RNA
Rfam family: Bacterial small subunit ribosomal RNA
Source: RNAcentral
UACGUAGGGUGCGAGCGUUGUCCGGAAUUAUUGGGCGUAAAGAGCUCGUAGGCGGUUUGUCGCGUCUGCCGUGAAAGUCCGGGGCUCAACUCCGGAUCUGCGGUGGGUACGGGCAGACUAGAGUGAUGUAGGGGAGACUGGAAUUCCUGGUGUAGAGGUGAAAUGCGCAGAUAUCAGGAGGAACACCGAUGGCGAAGGCAGGUCUCUGGGCAUUAACUGACGCUGAGGAGCGAAAGCAUGGGGAGCGAACAGG